Long non-coding RNA from Schistocerca nitens (vagrant locust), 1893 nucleotides. RefSeq lists it as uncharacterized. The transcript has 3 exons. The record is from RefSeq and is a predicted model, not a curated record. NCBI's taxonomy places the organism in Eukaryota, Metazoa, Arthropoda, Insecta, Orthoptera, Acrididae.
UUUAGGCGAUAAUGACAAUGGUACUAUGUUUGCACUUCUUCACAGUUGUAGCACACGAAGAUUCAGUUACGUGUGAAGCAGAAAUGAACCCUGAUAUAUAGAGCAUACAUUCUUAUGGUGAAGCCAAAGAUUUUGUAGUCAGAGCUGGUGAUACAUUGUCUGAUGAAAUAUCCAAUGCAGACAUUAUGGCCGGUCCUUCCAGUGGAAGGACAACACAUUCACCCAUUUCCAUUGUAUCUUAAUCAUAUGAGUAAUUUUGGGUGUCCUGCAAUACAGAAUUACAUUAGUUGAAUUUAAGAAAUCUUUGAAACACUCACUGAUGUUUACAGGAAUGAAGGUAGUAACUGUGCAAGUAUCUUGCGAAAUGGCUUAUGAAACAAGGCUCAGAGACAUUGGCAUCCACAUGUCUUGCUAGAGGCCAAAGAAAGUACACCAAUACCUGACAUGCUAUGAUUAAGGUGUCUGGUACUUCUUCAUGUCCAGAAACAACGCACGGACCCAAGAAGACAAGAGGCCGCCCCCUGAGAUAGCCCAAGAUAGAAGAUAUCCUUACGGAACAAGGUUAUAAACUGAAUUAACUUCAUUGGAGACUACACAGAUAUUGCAGUCAGCUGCAUGUUUUCUCUAGUCAGAGGUGUUACUUGCGCUGGUGUCCUUCCAAUUGUCUCAAAUAGGUGUGCCAGUGCAGUGCUGCAAGGUGGCAGCAGUGGCAAGGAAGUAACUGCAACAUGGCGGACGUGCGUUUGAGCUUUGAAGCGCAGAAGCAGAUAAUUAAGUGGUACUGGAAGUUUGAGAAUGUAGCUGCAAUUCGAAGACAGUGGAGAAGUGACUAUGGUACAGAACCACUUUUAAGGUUAACAAUUACAUGUCUAUGAGACAAAUUUGAAAUUCAUGGAACAGUGUGUGAUGUGCAUAGAGGUCGAUCAGGGCGACCUUGUACAGCUACAAGUGAUGAUUCCACAACUGUGGUCUUGGAACUGUUUCAGCAUUCGCCUCAAAAAUAUUCAAGGCAACCGGCACGUGAGAGUAAUGUAAGUGCUAGUAGUGUGCUACGCAUUCUGAAGAAAGGCAAGUUUCGUGUGUACAGUCCAAGGCCUGGAGCAACAGCUAAGUGACGACAAUCCAGAGCGAUGGUUAGAAUUUUGUGAAUGGGUUCAGGAGAUGAUGAGACGUGAACCGGAAUUUAUGGGUAGCAUAAUUUUGUCGGGUGAAGCCCGAUUCAAACUCAAUGGAACUGUCAAUAGGCACAAUUGUGUGUACUAGGCUGAAGAUAAUCCUCACAUUACAGUUGAAAAGGCUGUGAAUUUGCCUGGUGUAAAUGUGUGGUGUAGUUUGUCUGCAAGGGGACUCAUUGGGCCUUUUCGCUUUGAAGGUAGUGUUACUGGAGAAACGAACCUAACAGUGCUUGCUGACACCAUAUUCCCUGCCAUUCGUGCAUUAUAUGGUAAUGAUGAGUUUUAUUUCCAACAAGAUGGUGCCCCGCCACACUAUCAUAGGGGCGUACGAGCAUACCUGGAUCACAAUAUGCCAGACCAGUGGAUAGGACGCAGGGGACCAAUUGAGUUUCCUGCACGCUCUCCAGACCUCACGCCACUGGAUUUCUUCUUAUGGGGCACAGUAAAAGAUGAGGUGUACAAACGUAAACCACGUAACCUGGACACACUUUGGAAUGAGAUUCAGGAGGUGUGCGCAGAAAUCUCAUUGGACACUUUGGUACGAUGUACGGAAUCUGUGGUGACUCGUACUCAGAAAUGUAUUGAUGCUGAAGGCCACCAGUUUGAACAUUAAUCACAUUUGCAAAGCACAUUUAUUUUUCCAAUUGGACUUUAAGCUUUCCAUUUCCAGAAAUUUAACAUUGUAGAACGGGGAAUAAAUUUUCUAUGAUGUUUCAAA